CUUACACUGUGUGUGAUAGGGUGUGUGGCCAUAGCCGGUGCAUAAGGAAACAAUGCAAAACGAAACUGGCUAACGGUAUUGGUGAACUCCCUCAACAAAAACUCUGUCGAAACCUGACAGU
This 121-nucleotide long non-coding RNA is filed under the name Gadus morhua (Atlantic cod). Its description in RNAcentral is "lncRNA (ENSGMOG00000035457.1)". The record is from RNAcentral. Lineage: Eukaryota; Metazoa; Chordata; Actinopteri; Gadiformes; Gadidae.